This 410-nucleotide ribosomal RNA is filed under the name uncultured bacterium. RNAcentral's name for it is "bacterial SSU rRNA". It matches the Rfam family "Bacterial small subunit ribosomal RNA", at positions 69 to 511 of the family's 1533-position model. The record is from RNAcentral.
AGAAAGUGGAGCAAUCCAUGAGUAAAGUGGCGCACGGGUGAGUAACACGUGACUAACCUACCCUCGAGUGGGGAAUAACCUAGGGAAACCUGGGCUAAUACCGCAUAACACUUACGAGUCAAAGCAGCAAUGCGCUUGAGGAGGGGGUCGCGGCAGAUUAGCUAGUUGGUGAGGUAAUGGCUCACCAAGGCGAUGAUCUGUAUCCGGCCUGAGAGGGCGCACGGACACACUGGAACUGAAACACGGUCCAGACUCCUACGGGAGGCAGCAGUGGGGAAUUUUGCGCAAUGGGGGAAACCCUGACGCAGCAACGCCGCGUGGAGGAUGAAAUCCCUUGGGAUGUAAACUCCUUUCGAUCGGGACGAUUAUGACGGUACCGGAAGAAGAAGCCCCGGCUAACUUCGUGCCAG